UACGUAGGGGGCAAGCGUUGUCCGGAAUCAUUGGGCGUAAAGCGUGCGUAGGCGGCUGCGCAAGUCGGUUGUGAAACCCCGGGGCUCAACCCCGGAACUGCAUCCGAUACUGCGUGGCUAGAGGUAGGUAGGGGAGAUCGGAAUUCCUGGUGUAGCGGUGAAAUGCGCAGAUAUCAGGAGGAACACCGGUGGCGAAGGCGGAUCUCUGGGCCUUACCUGACGCUCAGGCACGAAAGCUAGGGGAGCGAACAGG
This 253-nucleotide ribosomal RNA is filed under the name uncultured bacterium. RNAcentral describes it as "partial 16S ribosomal RNA". It matches the Rfam family "Bacterial small subunit ribosomal RNA", at positions 524 to 776 of the family's 1533-position model. The record is from RNAcentral.